RNAcentral lists this unclassified non-coding RNA (336 nucleotides) under soil metagenome. RNAcentral describes it as "partial contains 5.8S ribosomal RNA, internal transcribed spacer 2, and large subunit ribosomal RNA". The stretch from base 1 to 120 matches the Rfam family "5.8S ribosomal RNA", at positions 35 to 154 of the family's 154-position model. The record is from RNAcentral.
GAUGAAGAACGUAGCGAAAUGCGAUAAGUAAUGUGAAUUGCGGAAUUCAGUGAAUCAUCGAAUCUUUGAACGCACAUUGCGCCCGCCAGUAUUCUGGCGGGCAUGCCUGUUCGAGCGUCAUUUCAACCAUCAAGCCCCCGGCUUGUGUUGGGGACCUGCGGCUGCCGCAGGCCCUGAAAAGCAGUGGCGGGCUCGCUGUCACACCGAGCGUAGUAGCAUACAUCUCGCUCUGGGCGUGCUGCGGGUUCCGGCCGUUAAACCACCUUCAUAACCCAAGGUUGACCUCGGAUCAGGUAGGAAGACCCGCUGAACUUAAGCAUAUCAAUAAGCGGAGGA